RNAcentral lists this ribosomal RNA (253 nucleotides) under uncultured bacterium. Its description in RNAcentral is "partial 16S ribosomal RNA". It matches the Rfam family "Bacterial small subunit ribosomal RNA", at positions 524 to 776 of the family's 1533-position model. The record is from RNAcentral.
UACGUAGGGUCCGAGCGUUGUCCGGAAUUAUUGGGCGUAAAGGGCUCGUAGGCGGUCUGUUGCGUCGGGAGUGAAAACUUACAGCUUAACUGUGAGCGUGCUUCCGAUACGGGCAGACUUGAGGUAUUCAGGGGAGAACGGAAUUCCUGGUGUAGCGGUGAAAUGCGCAGAUAUCAGGAGGAACCCCGGUGGCGAAGGCGGUUCUCUGGGAAUAUCCUGACGCUGAGGAGCGAAAGUGUGGGGAGCGAACAGG